RNAcentral lists this unclassified non-coding RNA (400 nucleotides) under uncultured fungus. RNAcentral describes it as "sequence contains ITS1". The record is from RNAcentral. Lineage: Eukaryota; Fungi.
CCCGUCAAUUCAUUUAAGUUUUAAUCUUGCGACCGUACUCCCCAGGCGGAAUGCUUAAAGCGUUAGCGGCGCCACUGAGGUGCAUGCACCCCAACGGCUAGCAUUCAUCGUUUACAGCGUGGACUACCAGGGUAUCUAAUCCUGUUUGCUCCCCACGCUUUCGCGCCUCAGCGUCAGAACCGGACCAGACAGCCGCCUUCGCCACUGGUGUUCUUGCGAAUAUCUACGAAUUUCACCUCUACACUCGCAGUUCCGCUGUCCUCUUCCGGUCUCAAGCCAAUCAGUAUCGAAGGCCAUUCCGUGGUUGAGCCACGGGCUUUCACCCUCGACUAAAUCAGCCGCCUACGCGCCCUUUACGCCCAGUGAUUCCGAGCAACGCUAGCCCCCUUCGUAUUACCGC